Molecule: long non-coding RNA, 1170 nt
Organism: Gallus gallus (chicken)
Lineage: Eukaryota; Metazoa; Chordata; Aves; Galliformes; Phasianidae
Source: Ensembl
GCUUGUCAUUAAAAUUCUGGUCACAGAUGUGGGUUAAAAUAUCUCUAACCUUUACAAAUGUAUUAUGUGGCACUACUGACAUAGCUUUUAUUGCAGAUAAAAUCUAUAACAAAUUCUCCAUGUGACAGGAGAGCAACAUGAUUUUGUAUUAAAUUCAGAUGAUAGAGAUGCAUUCCUUGCUUGUACUUUUAAAAUGUUUUGGAUUUAGUAACAGCUUUAAGAAGAGGAUGUAAAAGAGACGUAAGAAUUCAACUCAUUUCCAGUCUUGGUUGAAUCCCUCAAAAAGUCCUGCACGGAGGGUGUGAAUUUGAAAUGUGCAGAGGAUGCUAGACACUUUUUCCAGUGUUGGAAUUCAGUGCUCCUUGAAAUCCUUGUUUCACAUCUUCUGAUGCUCAGAACCUCACAAGAUGGAAGACUGUUUCCCAUGAUAAAUUCAGAGGGUGAGUUAGCAUAAAUAUGCAUAACAGUAUCUAUAUGAAGGCAUGCUGUUUUAACACAGGGAUAUAUUGUAGAUGUUAGAAAAAAUUUCUUCUCCAACAGAGUGGUCCAGGCACUGGCACAGGCUGCCCAGGCAGGUGGUUAAGUCAGUGUCCCUAGAGGUGUUAGAGAACUGUAGGUAUGUUCCACUGAGGGACAGUUUAUAUUGUGGGGAUGGGUUGGGGUUGGACUAUAUGAUCUUAGAGAUCUUUUCCAACCUUAACAGUUCUAUGAUUCCAUACCCACUUUUCAACAAUUCGUCAAUUUUACUAGACUAUACUAAAACACAUGGUCACAGUUAUUCCUGUUCUUUAACUAAUGAAACUAAACGAUCCUCCUGUUUGACCAUUUCUUCCCUUAGUCUGGAUAAAAAAAAAUUCUUUCCUUUUGAGCUGGGUAACAGUCUGGCACCAAGGAAUGUGUUGAAGCCUUUUAUAUGCAGAUUAUCUGCUGUCCUGCUUCUUUCAGUAGGUGCCAUAAAUUAAUAUUCAAAAUCUGCUACAAUUUUGUCAGUUUUUUUAAUUCAUUUCAUAUGUAUUUAAUCCCACAUCAAUCUCAGUUUUUCUGCAAUAUGUGCCAUAUUGUAGCAGCUUUUUAGCUGCCACUGAUGAUUUUCUCAUUCCUUUAGUGUGAGGUUUUAAUUCUGCUAACGCUUUUGUUAAUGAAAUACAUGUCACUUAAUGAAAUUAAAUG